This 761-nucleotide ribosomal RNA is filed under the name Aestuariibacter sp. Its description in RNAcentral is "bacterial SSU rRNA". It matches the Rfam family "Bacterial small subunit ribosomal RNA", at positions 1 to 750 of the family's 1533-position model. Lineage: Bacteria; Pseudomonadati; Pseudomonadota; Gammaproteobacteria; Alteromonadales; Alteromonadaceae. The record is from RNAcentral.
UUAAUUGAAGAGUUUGAUCAUGGCUCAGAUUGAACGCUGGCGGCAGGCCUAACACAUGCAAGUCGAGCGGAAACGAAGAGGUGCUUGCACCUCUGGCGUCGAGCGGCGGACGGGUGAGUAAUGCUUGGGAAUGUGCCUUAUGGUGGGGGACAACAGUUGGAAACGACUGCUAAUACCGCAUAAUGUCUUCGGACCAAAGUGGGGGACCUUCGGGCCUCACGCCAUAAGAUCAGCCCAAGUGGGAUUAGCUAGUUGGUAAGGUAAUGGCUUACCAAGGCGACGAUCCCUAGCUGGUUUGAGAGGAUGAUCAGCCACACUGGGACUGAGACACGGCCCAGACUCCUACGGGAGGCAGCAGUGGGGAAUAUUGCACAAUGGGCGCAAGCCUGAUGAAGCCAUGCCGCGUGUGUGAAGAAGGCCUUCGGGUUGUAAAGCACUUUCAGUAAGGAGGAAAGGUUAAGUGUUAAUAGCACUUAGCUGUGACGUUACUUACAGAAGAAGCACCGGCUAACUCCGUGCCAGCAGCCGCGGUAAUACGGAGGGUGCGAGCGUUAAUCGGAAUUACUGGGCGUAAAGCGCACGCAGGCGGUUUGUUAAGCUAGAUGUGAAAGCCCCGGGCUCAACCUGGGAACUGCAUUUCGAACUGGCAAACUAGAGUGUGAUAGAGGGUGGUAGAAUUUCAGGUGUAGCGGUGAAAUGCGUAGAGAUCUGAAGGAAUACCGAUGGCGAAGGCAGCCACCUGGGUCAACACUGACGCUCAU